This 404-nucleotide ribosomal RNA is filed under the name uncultured bacterium. RNAcentral's name for it is "bacterial SSU rRNA". It matches the Rfam family "Bacterial small subunit ribosomal RNA", at positions 28 to 418 of the family's 1533-position model. The record is from RNAcentral.
GAUGAACGCUGGCGGCGUGCUUAACACAUGCAAGUCGAGCGUGAAGGCUAUGACUGAUUCUUCGGAUGAAGGAAUAGCUGGAAAGCGGCGGACGGGUGAGUAACGCGUGGGUAACCUGCCUUGUACAGAGGGAUAGCCACUGGAAACGGUGAUUAAUACCUCAUAAAGCUACAGCAUCGCAUGGUGCAGUAGUCAAAACUCAGGUGGUACAAGAUGGACCCGCGUCUGAUUAGCUAGUUGGUGGGUAAAGCCUACAAGGCGACGAUCAGUAGCCGACCUGAGAGGGUGAUCGGCCACACUGGAACUGAGACACGGUCCAGACUCCUACGGGAGGCAGCAGUGGGGAAUAUUGCACAAUGGGCGAAAGCCUGAUGCAGCAACGCCGCGUGAGCGAAGAAGGCCUU